Long non-coding RNA from Cryptotermes secundus, 584 nucleotides. RefSeq lists it as uncharacterized. The record is from RefSeq and is a predicted model, not a curated record. NCBI's taxonomy places the organism in Eukaryota, Metazoa, Arthropoda, Insecta, Blattodea, Kalotermitidae. The transcript is spliced from 2 exons.
UCUUCAUUGCCUUCUGAUACCUGGAACAGUAUGAAAUUGGUAUGACACGUGCCUCAUUGGGGUUAUAUUCAUAACUUUCUUAUCUUGUGCUGCCAGUGAUGAAGGCUACAUAGCAUCAAAUCAUAGGAUGCUUAAUGAAUGAGUUGGAUUGGCUGUGGAAGGAAAUGGUUACAGCCUGAAUUCAGGUACAAUUCUGGUGUCUGCCUGGAAAAACACAGUAAAACUACAACAAACAUCAGUCAGGAUAGCUGGUCUCUGGGCUAAGAUAUGAACGUCAGAUUCCUGAACAGAAAAGCAGAGUGGUAUCUAUUUGACAGUGUUCAAUGGAAAUGCUCAUUAAUGGAGAAAACUCUCAGACAAUUUUAACCAACCAGUAUGAUCAUUAUAUUUGGAGGUAAUAAAUAAUUUGUGUUUAAUUUUUCUAUAAAACUUCAAUGAAUAUUUAACAAUUUAUAUUCAAGACAUGCUGCAAGAAAUUCAUCUACAUCUUCAUGUAAAAGGGUCUGUUAUUUUUAUUUUAAUCAAAACUGGUAUGUGUCAACAAAUGUUAGCAGACUACCCAAUACCAAUACCAUUGAAAAGUU